RNAcentral lists this ribosomal RNA (465 nucleotides) under uncultured Klebsiella sp. Its description in RNAcentral is "bacterial SSU rRNA". It matches the Rfam family "Bacterial small subunit ribosomal RNA", at positions 338 to 795 of the family's 1533-position model. The record is from RNAcentral. Lineage: Bacteria; Pseudomonadati; Pseudomonadota; Gammaproteobacteria; Enterobacterales; Enterobacteriaceae.
CCUACGGGUGGCAGCAGUGGGGAAUAUUGCACAAUGGGCGCAAGCCUGAUGCAGCCGUGCCGCGUGUGUGAAGAAGGCCUUCGGGUUGUAAAGCACUUUCAGCGGGGAGGAAGGCGUUAAGGUUAAUAACCUUGGCGAUUGACGUUACCCGCAGAAGAAGCACCGGCUAACUCCGUGCCAGCAGCCGCGGUAAUACGGAGGGUGCAAGCGUUAAUCGGAAUUACUGGGCGUAAAGCGCACGCAGGCGGUCUGUCAAGUCGGAUGUGAAAUCCCCGGGCUCAACCUGGGAACUGCAUUCGAAACUGGCAGGCUAGAGUCUUGUAGAGGGGGGUAGAAUUCCAGGUGUAGCGGUGAAAUGCGUAGAGAUCUGGAGGAAUACCGGUGGCGAAGGCGGCCCCCUGGACAAAGACUGACGCUCAGGUGCGAAAGCGUGGGGAGCAAACAGGAUUAGAUACCCGAGUAGUC